CCUACGGGAGGCAGCAGUGGGGAAUAUUGCACAAUGGGGGGAACCCUGAUGCAGCGACGCCGCGUGGGUGAAGGAGUAUUUCGGUAUGUAAAGCCCUAUCAGCAGGGAAGAACAAUGACGGUACCUGACUAAGAAGCACCGGCUAAAUACGUGACAGCAGCCGCGGUAAUACGUAUGGUGCAAGCGUUAUCCGGAUUUACUGGGUGUAAAGGGAGCGGAGGCGGCGCGUGAAGCCUGGUGUGAAAGUCCGCGGCGCAACCGCGGGACUGCAUUGGGAACUGGCGCGCUGGAGUGCCGGAGGGGUAGGCGGAAUGCCUGGUGUAGCGGUGAAAUGCGUAGAUAUUAGGAGGAACACCAGUGGCGAAGGCGGCCUACUGGACGGUGACUGACGCUGAGGCUCGAAAGCGUGGGGAGCAAACAGGAUUAGAUACCCGGGUAGUC
Molecule: ribosomal RNA, 441 nt
Filed under: uncultured bacterium
Lineage: Bacteria
Description: partial 16S ribosomal RNA
Rfam family: Bacterial small subunit ribosomal RNA
Source: RNAcentral